GGCAAAAGCUCAAAUUUGAAAUCUAGCACUUUCAGUGUUCGAGUUGUAAUUUGAAGAAGGUAACUUUGGAAUUGGCUCUUGUCUAUGUUCCUUGGAACAGGACGUCACAGAGGGUGAGAAUCCCGUGCGAUGAGAUGUCCAAUUCUAUGUAAAGUGCUUUCGAAGAGUCGAGUUGUUUGGGAAUGCAGCUCUAAGUGGGUGGUAAAUUCCAUCUAAAGCUAAAUAUUGGCGAGAGACCGAUAGCGAACAAGUACAGUGAUGGAAAGAUGAAAAGAACUUUGAAAAGAGAGUGAAAAAGUACGUGAAAUUGUUGAAAGGGAAGGGCUUGAGAUCAGACUUGGUAUUUUGUGUUCCUUAUUCUUUUUGGAUUUGGUUCCUCACAGCUUACCGGGCCAGCAUCGGUUUGGAUGGUAGGAUAAUGACAUUGGAAUGUAGCUUUGCUUCGGUGAAGUGUUAUAGACUUUGUUGAUACUGCCUAUCUAGACCGAGGACUGCGUCUUUGACUAGGAUGCUGGCGUAAUGAUCUUAAGCCGCCCGU
RNAcentral lists this ribosomal RNA (538 nucleotides) under Dujonia oleophila. RNAcentral describes it as "[Candida] oleophila partial large subunit ribosomal RNA". It matches the Rfam family "Eukaryotic large subunit ribosomal RNA", at positions 100 to 652 of the family's 3401-position model. Lineage: Eukaryota; Fungi; Ascomycota; Pichiomycetes; Serinales; Debaryomycetaceae. RNAcentral also lists the same sequence under 1 other name. The record is from RNAcentral.